Molecule: long non-coding RNA, 978 nt
Organism: Pantherophis guttatus
Lineage: Eukaryota; Metazoa; Chordata; Lepidosauria; Squamata; Colubridae
Source: RefSeq, a predicted model, not a curated record
UGGUAUGCUUCCACCAAUGUUGUAGAGACAGAUAAUAAAAUCAACUAGACCAGUGUUUUCAAACUUUAAAAUAUGUGAUCUCUCAGAUUUCCCCAGGUGGCAUGGUGAACCAGACUAUAAUUUCAUUAUUGUAUUAACAGCCCACCCCAAUUCAGAAAAUAGCCCUCUCAAAUAGUCCUCAACUUAUACCUUUCACUUAGUGAUCAUUCAAAGUUACAGCGGCACUGAAAAAAGUGACUUAUUGUCAUUUUUCAUACAUUGCAGACCCCCGUGGUCAUGUGAUUAAAAUUCAGAUGCUUGGCAACUGGCAUGUAUUUAUGAUAGUUGCAAUGUCCCAGGGUCAUGUGAUCACCUUUUGAGACUUCUGACAAGCAAAAUCAAUAGAAAAGCCAAAUUAAUUUAACAACUGUAUUACUAACUUAACAACUGCAGUUGAUCCACUUCAUAACUGUGGCAAGGAAUAUUGUAAAAAAGGGGCAAAACUGACUUAACAAUUGUUUUGCUUAGCAAUGGAAAUUUUGCAUUUCAUUUCAUCGUAUUGGAUUUCAGGCUUCUAGUAUGGAGGCUGAUUAUAGAUAUAAAUUUGAAGGAAGAGAAAACAAAGAACAAUUCUGGUCGCAGUUUCAAGAGGAUGUGGUCUUAGCAACUAUGGUCACAGUUGCAAGAAGAUGUGGUCUCAGAACAAAGGAACAACAAGAAGUAUUAAAGCUCAAAAUAUCCAAAACAUCAGCAGAGACGCUCUGAAAUUGGAAUUUUGAGUCAUGGAUUAAAAGGACCCGUCUUUCAUAGUUGGAAGAGCUUAAAUAAAUGAUUUAUAAUUAUAUAAUGAUGCAUACCAAAAGAAGAAACAACAGCUAAGAUGAAUAUUAUGAGUGGAAGUCAAAAUGCUCAGAGGAGAGUAAAUUAUCUAGCCUGAAUUUAUUUACUGAUUUGUAUUAAAAAAAAUAUUGCCAUAUUAAAGGUUUAGUUACAAAAAUA